RNAcentral lists this ribosomal RNA (497 nucleotides) under uncultured bacterium. RNAcentral's name for it is "partial 16S ribosomal RNA". It matches the Rfam family "Bacterial small subunit ribosomal RNA", at positions 28 to 507 of the family's 1533-position model. The record is from RNAcentral.
GAUGAACGCUGGCGGCGUGCCUAACACAUGCAAGUCGAGCGAACAGACGAGGAGCUUGUUCCUCUGACGUUAGCGGCGGACGGGUGGGUAACGCGUGGAUAACCUACCUCUAUGACUGGGAUAACUUCGGGAAACCGGAGACAAUACCGGAUAAUAUAUUCAACCGCAUGGUUCAAUAGAGAAUGACGGCUUUGCUGUCACUUAUAGAUGGAUCCGCGCCGCAUUAGCUAGUUGGUAAGGUAACGGCUUACCAAGGCGACGAUGCGUAGCCGACCUGAGAGGGUGAUCAGCCACACUGGAACUGAGACACGGUCCAGACUCCUACGGGAGGCAGCAGUGGGGAAUCUUCCACAAUGGGCGAAAGCCUGACGGAGCAACGCCGCGUGGGUGAAGAAGGCCUUCGGGUCGUAAAGCACUGUUAUUAGGAAAGAACAGAUGUAUAAGUAUCUAUGGCUGUCUUGACGGUACCUAAACAGUAAGCAACGGCUAACUUCGUG